Molecule: non-coding RNA, 958 nt
Organism: Theobroma cacao (cacao)
Lineage: Eukaryota; Viridiplantae; Streptophyta; Magnoliopsida; Malvales; Malvaceae
Source: RefSeq, a predicted model, not a curated record
AGUAGCUGUCAUGGAUUCACGUGAAGCUAUAGCUAUAGGUCUAAAAGUAUCUUUCAGUCUUCCCCGUGAGAAUUAGAACUCAAAUCCCGCAACAACGUCGACCUAGAUUGUUUUCUAAGCUUUUGGUGGCUUACAGUUACCUUAACAUUUUUUAAUCCCAAAAUCCUUUUCUAUGUUGCCUUUUGAUGUUUCACGUUCUAAUUCAAUAAUACCAUGAUUCAUGAACUGAUUAUUUUAUCCCCCAUUUGCAUUUUGCAGGUGAAGCCGAAGGAGACAAGAGAAGAAAGAUGAUGCAGGAACGUGACAUGUUUUGUACAGAGGAGAGAUCAGAGAUGGCUUCGACUGAUUCAAAAGCAACUAAUACCAACUAGAUAUUAGGAUUUAGCAUGCAUAUCAUGGAAGGGUUGGAUGAUUAAUUCAAACAAUGGUAUUGGAUGAAUCAAGUAUUUGAAAUGUUAUUGAAUCUACUUCUCCUCAAGAGCCUGCAGUGCUUUUCGUUGCUUGCACCCACCAAAGCAGUAGCACUUGAACCCUGGAGGACAAUGAGAACCAUGCCAAAGCUAUAUCGACGUAUUGCUCUUGUCCUAUUCUUAUGCCCUUCAUUAUUGCUUUAGGUGAAAAGCAGCCGGACAAAAAAGAAUUUCUCAACUCAAAGAGAAACAGUACGUACUUGUUUGAUUCUCUUGUCCCACGUUUCAAUUCGAGCUAUAUAGUUGUACAAAGCCAACAGUUCCAAGCAUGUUGAAAGCAACAUCCCUAGUGCUCCACUCACCUUGGGUACUGCACUGUUUCUCUAGUAACAUCAACGAGAAGGAGCGUUAGGGCCUGCCCCAAAGUUCUUAAAGAAAUUUCUCACAAAUAUUACUAGUAUAUUAUAUGUAAGAAGAAGUAGAUCUUUCAAAUUUAUUUUCGACUUUGUCAAUCACUUUGAAUAGUUGACCUAUAUCACCACAGUUUG